RNA transcript from Nicotiana attenuata, 3307 nucleotides. It is a transcript of the gene named pentatricopeptide repeat-containing protein At2g15820, chloroplastic, with no coding region annotated. The transcript is spliced from 3 exons. The record is from RefSeq and is a predicted model, not a curated record. NCBI's taxonomy places the organism in Eukaryota, Viridiplantae, Streptophyta, Magnoliopsida, Solanales, Solanaceae.
CUAAUAGGCCAAUGUUAUUCCAGUUUGAAAAACUAGAGACUGGAUAAAUGGCAAACACAUAACACUCUGCUUCUUUAUGAUGGCAAUUUCCUUUGUCCAAUCCCCCAUGAGCACAACCCUCACUUUCCUCCAUUCUCUCUCCUCCUCCCCUUUCCUCCACCGUCACCGCCGCCGCCUCUUAUCCACCUCACCACCCCUUUCCCUUCCCUUAAAGCCCCUUUCAUUUACUCCCUUAUCCACUUUACCCCAACAAGUUCUGUUUUCAUCCCAUGAAACCCAAGACAAUAACAAUUUGGACAUUUCUUCAUCUGGGUAUCCUGAAAGUUUCAAUUUUGACGAGUCUUUUGAUUCUACUGAGCUGAAAAAGUUUGAAACACCGGCCGUUGAAGUUAGUGAACUAGAGGACAUUCCUGACCAAUGGCGUAGGUCAAGAUUAGCUUGGCUUUGUAAGGAACUUCCAGCACAUAAAACACCUACUAUGGUUCGGAUUCUUAAUGCACAGAGGAAAUGGCUUAAACAAGAAGAUGCUACUUAUAUUGCUGUUCAUUGUAUGCGUAUUCGUGAAAAUGAAGCUGCUUUUCGGGUUUACAAAUGGAUGAUGCAGCAACAUUGGUUUCGAUUUGAUUUUGCUCUAGCUACAAAGCUAACAGAUUACUUGGGUAAGGAACGAAAGCACUUGAAGUGCCGAGAGAUUUUUGAUGACAUUAUUAACCAGGGACGAGUGCCGCCUGAAUCUACAUUCCAUAUUCUCAUCAUUGCCUAUCUUAGUUCACCUGGCCCAUCAGAGUUAGAUGAAGCGUGUAGCAUCUACAAUCGCAUGGUGCACUUGGGAGGUUAUAAGCCUCGGCUUAACUUACACAAUUCUCUGUUUAAAGCUCUUUUGGGGAAGAAACCAGGCUCCAGUAAACACUUCCUGAAACAGGCAGAAUUUAUAUAUCAGAAUUUAACUUCCUCAGGAUUGAAUAUACACAAAGAUAUUUUUGGUGGUCUUAUAUGGCUUCACAGUUAUCAGGAUGUGGUGGAUAUGGAAAGAAUUGCUGCGCUAAGAGCAGAGAUGCGAUCAAGAGGAAUUCAAGAGAGCAAAGAGGUACUCGUGUCAGUCUUAAGAGCUUGCUCAAAGGAUGGGGAUCUGGAGGAAGCCGAACGAACUUGGGCAAAACUCCUCUCCGUUGAUCGUAGUCCUCCUUCACAAGCUUUUGUAUAUAAAAUGGAAGUCUAUGCAAAGAUCGGAGAGCCUAUGAAAUCUUUGGAAGUAUUUAGAAGGAUGCAGAAACAACUGAGUUCCACCUCCGUUGCUGCAUACCAUAAGAUAAUAAAGGUGUUGUCUAAAUCUCAAAAACUAGAUCUUGCAGAGUCUAUCAUGUCCGAGUUCAUAAACAGUGGUAUGAAGCCGCUGAUUCCAUCAUUCAUCGAUUUGAUGGGAAUGUAUUCAAUUGCAGGCUUACAUGAGAAACUGGAGUCUACCUUUCUCUGUUGCCGUAAAGUCUGUGGUCCAAAUCAGACGGUUUUUAAUAUUUAUUUGGAUUCCUUGGUGCAUACUGGCAAUCUGAACCGGGCUGAAGAAAUCUUCAAUGAAAUGCGUGGUGAUGUUGCAAUUAGUCUUGAUUCUCGUUCUUGCAACAGUAUUUUGAGAGGCUAUUUGACCUGUGGAGAGUAUGUGAAGGCAGAAAAGAUAUAUGAUUUGAUGCGCCAAAAGAAGUACGACAUUGAGAUUGAAUCUUCACUGAUGGAAAAACUUGACUUUGUUCUAAGCUUGCGGGAGAAAGUAGUCGAAGAACCUAUUCGGCUGAAGCUCACGAAAGAACAACGAGAGGUUUUGAUGGGGUUGCUUCUCGGGGGUUUGCAAAUUAGAUCAUAUGGAGAGAGGAGGAGGAGAGUACACGCAAUUCAUUUUGAGUUCAAUGAAGAGUCGAGGAUCCAUGCCAUUUUAAAGGGACACCUACACGCUGAAUUUCAUGAGUGGUUAGGCUCUCAUGAUAUGAUGGUGGAUGGCUCUGAUGACAUUCCUAGUUCCUUUACUACCAUCUCACAUUCUUGUUUUACUUUCUAUGCUGAUCAGUUCUGGCCCAAUGGACGUCCUGGAAUACCAAAACUUAUACAUAGAUGGCUGUCACCUUGUGUUCUUGCUUAUUGGUACAUGUAUGGCGGUUACAGGACAUCUUCUGGUGAUAUUCUAUUGAGAGUAAAGGGAAGUCGAGAGGAAGUUGUGAGUAUUGUAAAAGCGCUGAAAGCCAAAUCAUUAGGCUGCCGAGUAAAAAAGAGGGGGAGGGUCUUUUGGAUUGGUUUUCUGGGGAACAAUGCUACAUGGUUCUGGAAAGUGGUAGAGCUUUAUAUUCUUGAUAAAUUAAAGGAUCUCCUUAAAGCGGGUGGCAACUCAGACGGAUCCCUAGAAAUCCAAAAUAUCAAUUUCGACAGUGGGUCGGAGUCUGAGGAGAAAAAUUCCGAUUACAGCGAUGCUGACACGUCAUAGGGCCUCUUCUCAUUGAUGUACUGUUCUCUAUGCCUUUAUUGCAAGGUGUAAUAGGUUAUUUGUGGUUAAAAUGUUGCUCCAGAAUUCUGGCUGAUAAGGCGCUCUGGUGCCUUCUUCUGAUAGCCAGCUGAACUCAAGUCUCCAUCGAGGAAAAUAGAUGAGAACAGAGAGAUUUCCUGUAACUUAAUAUGCUGCAAUUUAACGGAUCUCCAGAAUCUCUUACAAACUUUAACUGCAACUGUGAAUUACUCUAAUGUGCUUAAGUUUUUAGCUCAAUGUUUUACCAUGAAACUGCACACAUUCAGAUUUUUGCUAAGCGAUGUGCGUCAGAGAAGCCACAGCUGAACGAUAGGGGUUGGCUCUGUUUCCAUCGUCCAGUACCGUGGUGAAGAACUUCAAAUGCAUUCAGCUGGUCUAAAAAGGCAGCUUGGUGCACUAAGCUGUUUCUGGAAAAAGAGCCGGACCACAAGGGUCUGUUGUACGUAGCCUUACCCUGCAUUUCUGCAAGAGGCUAUUUCCUGUGACCUCUUGGUCACAUGGCAGCAGCUUUACCAGUUACGCCAAGGCUCCCCUUCGGCCGGUAAAAACAGAUAUUGCAGUAUAUAAGAAAUUAGCUACAGGUUUGUUGCUUUUCUUUUUUUGUUUGCAUCCUUUCAAUUGCUGCACUCCUAGUAUUUGAAUCACCACUUGUGCUUCUGAACUUUUCACUUUUUAGUGUUGAAUAAAAUCAUGUUAAUAAUACUAAGGUGGUAUCAUUACUUGCCAUCUCUAUAGCUUUGUAUCUUCAUGUUAAGGACUUCAGUUAUAAACUAUCAAGAUAGUGUUGUACUUGUGUUA